Molecule: ribosomal RNA, 253 nt
Filed under: uncultured bacterium
Lineage: Bacteria
Description: partial 16S ribosomal RNA
Rfam family: Bacterial small subunit ribosomal RNA
Source: RNAcentral
UACGUACCGUGCGAACGUUGUUCGGAAUCACUGGGCUUAAAGGGCGCGUAGGCGGGUGUGCAAGUCUGUGGUGAAAGCCUCCAGCUUAACUGGAGAAGUGCCAUGGAUACUGCACAUCUUGAGGAGGGUAGGGGCAUCUGGAACGGUCGGUGGAGCGGUGAAAUGCGUUGAUAUCGACCGGAACUCCGGUGGCGAAGGCGAGGUGCUGGACCCUUUCUGACGCUGAGGCGCGAAAGCCAGGGGAGCAAACGGG